UGUGUGUUAGUGGAAGCGUCUGGAAAGGCGCGCGAUACAGGGUGACAGCCCCGUACACAAAAAUGCACAUGCUGUGAGCUCGAUGAGUAGGGCGGGACACGUGGUAUCCUGUCUGAAUAUGGGGGGACCAUCCUCCAAGGCUAAAUACUCCUGACUGACCGAUAGUGAACCAGUACCGUGAGGGAAAGGCGAAAAGAACCCCGGCGAGGGGAGUGAAAAAGAACCUGAAACCGUGUACGUACAAGCAGUGGGAGCACGCUUAGGCGUGUGACUGCGUACCUUUUGUAUAAUGGGUCAGCGACUUAUAUUCUGUAGCAAGGUUAACCGAAUAGGGGAGCCGAAGGGAAACCGAGUCUUAACUGGGCGUUAAGUUGCAGGGUAUAGACCCGAAACCCGGUGAUCUAGCCAUGGGCAGGUUGAAGGUUGGGUAACACUAACUGGAGGACCGAACCGACUAAUGUUGAAAAAUUAGCGGAUGACUUGUGGCUGGGGGUGAAAGGCCAAUCAAACCGGGAGAUAGCUGGUUCUCCCCGAAAGCUAUUUAGGUAGCGCCUCGUGAAUUCAUCUCCGGGGGUAGAGCACUGUUUCGGCAAGGGGGUCAUCCCGACUUACCAACCCGAUGCAAAC
This 627-nucleotide ribosomal RNA is filed under the name Escherichia coli. RNAcentral's name for it is "partial 23S ribosomal RNA". It matches the Rfam family "Bacterial large subunit ribosomal RNA", at positions 323 to 954 of the family's 2925-position model. Lineage: Bacteria; Pseudomonadati; Pseudomonadota; Gammaproteobacteria; Enterobacterales; Enterobacteriaceae. The record is from RNAcentral.